RNAcentral lists this ribosomal RNA (297 nucleotides) under uncultured Desulfobulbus sp. Its description in RNAcentral is "partial 16S ribosomal RNA". It matches the Rfam family "Bacterial small subunit ribosomal RNA", at positions 1086 to 1382 of the family's 1533-position model. Lineage: Bacteria; Pseudomonadati; Thermodesulfobacteriota; Desulfobulbia; Desulfobulbales; Desulfobulbaceae. The record is from RNAcentral.
CCCGCAACGAGCGCAACCCUUGCCUUAGUUUGCCAGCAGUUCGGCUGGGCGACUCUAAAGGGACUGCCGGUGUUAAACCGGAGGAAGGUGGGGAUGACGUCAAGUCCUCAUGGCCUUUAUGACCAGGGCUACACACGUACUACAAUGGCCGAUACAAAGGGCAGCGACACUGCGAGGUGAAGCCAAUCCCGUAAAAUCGGUCUCAGUCCGGAUUGGAGUCUGCAACUCGACUCCAUGAAGUUGGAAUCGCUAGUAAUCGUGGAUCAGCAUGCCACGGUGAAUACGUUCCCGGGCCUU